UCACUUUCCUGACACAAAACACACUGACAUCAAGAAGGUUAUUUUCACAGGGUAAGAUUUAUCCAUUGCACUCCCAAUGUAUUGACCUCUGUGAUUUCCCCAAAUUUGGGACAUUUGACUGUGUCGUUUUGGUAUUAAGGGAUUACAUUCACUCUCCCUCA
This is a small nuclear RNA of Cricetulus griseus (Chinese hamster), 161 nucleotides long. Its record names the gene U1. It matches the Rfam family "U1 spliceosomal RNA". From Rfam's summary of the family: U1 is a small nuclear RNA (snRNA) component of the spliceosome (involved in pre-mRNA splicing). Its 5' end forms complementary base pairs with the 5' splice junction, thus defining the 5' donor site of an intron. The record is from Ensembl. NCBI's taxonomy places the organism in Eukaryota, Metazoa, Chordata, Mammalia, Rodentia, Cricetidae.